GGCUUGUUGAUUAUAAUUUCAGGUCUGGCCUGCCCAAUGAAGAAUUUAAUGGCCGCGGUAUUUUGACUGUGCAAAGGUAGCAUAAUCAUUAGUUUUUUAAUUGAAAGCUCGAAUGAAGGGUUAAAUGAAGAAAAUACUGUCUCUAUAAGAGUUUUUUAGAAGUUUAUUUUUAAGUAAAAAAGCUUAAAUUUGUAUGGAAGACGAGAAGACCCUAUAGAGUUUGAUAUAAAUAUUUUUUAAAGAUUUUAGAAUUUAUUAAUUUUUAAAUAAGUGAGAUUAUUUUAUUGGGGUGAUAAAAAAAUUUAGUGAACUUUUUUUUUAUUUGAUCAUAUAUUUAUGAAAAGUUGAUCCUGAAAUUUAGAUUAUAAGAAUAAAUUACCUUAGGGAUAACAGCGUAAUUUUUUUUAGAGUUCUUAUCGAAAAAAAAGAUUGCGACCUCGAUGUUGGAUUAAAAUGAAUUUCUGGUGAAGAAGCUAGAAAAUUAGGUCUGUUCGACCUUAAA
Molecule: ribosomal RNA, 502 nt
Filed under: Trigonopterus sp. 438 AR-2020
Lineage: Eukaryota; Metazoa; Arthropoda; Insecta; Coleoptera; Curculionidae
Description: partial large subunit ribosomal RNA
Rfam family: Bacterial large subunit ribosomal RNA
Source: RNAcentral